Carassius carassius (crucian carp) is the source of this 306-nucleotide long non-coding RNA. RefSeq lists it as uncharacterized. Lineage: Eukaryota; Metazoa; Chordata; Actinopteri; Cypriniformes; Cyprinidae. The record is from RefSeq and is a predicted model, not a curated record. The transcript has 3 exons.
UUGUUUUCCUGUUUCUCCAGCCUCGCGUGUGGAGACUUCAGAAGAUGCCAGACCUCACAAAGAUUUCAGAUGAUGGAAACUAUAGAUGAACAUGCAAAGCUGCUAAAUAAUCCUUAUAUUGUAAUCAUUGUCCUAAAAGGGAGGAACUUGUCAGCAAAUCUACUUCACAGCACGUCAGUGAAAGCAGUUGACAGUUACAGAUGUGUGUGUUGGAUCAGGGUCAGAUCUGAAUUCUGCAGGUUUCCUGGGAUGACAGUUGAAGAGAUAAGCACAUCAGAUGUUGGCCUGGACAGCUGUACCUACAGU